This 1453-nucleotide ribosomal RNA is filed under the name metagenome. Its description in RNAcentral is "bacterial LSU rRNA". It matches the Rfam family "Bacterial large subunit ribosomal RNA", at positions 1273 to 2855 of the family's 2925-position model. The record is from RNAcentral.
UUAGAGAGAUCGGAAGCGAGAAUGUUGACAUGAGUAGCGACAAACAGGGUGAGAGACCCUGUCGCCGAAAGUCCAAGGGUUCCUGCUUAAAGCUAAUCUGAGCAGGGUAAGCCGGCCCCUAAGGCGAGGCCGAAAGGCGUAGUCGAUGGGAACCAGGUUAAUAUUCCUGGGCCAGGAGGAUGUGACGGAUCUCGAAGGUUGUCUGCCCUUAUCGGAUUGGGUGGGCCGCUUAGAGGUUCCUGGAAAUAGCCCUCCACAAGACCGUACCCCAAACCGACACAGGUGGACUGGUAGAGAAUACCAAGGCGCUUGAGAGAACCACAUCAAAGGAACUCGGCAAAAUGCUCCCGUAAGUUCGCGAGAAGGGAGCCCCGUCUGUAGGCAACUAUGGGCGGGGGGCACAAACCAGGGGGUGGCGACUGUUUACUUAAAACACAGGGCUGUGCGAAGCCGUAAGGCGACGUAUACAGUCUGACGCCUGCCCGGUGCUGGAAGGUUAAAAGGAGGGGUGCAAGCUCUGAAUUGAAGCCCCAGUAAACGGCGGCCGUAACAAUAACGGUCCUAAGGUAGCGAAAUUCCUUGUCGGGUAAGUUCCGACCUGCACGAAUGGCGUAACGAUCUCCCCGCUGUCUCUGAUGUGGACUCAGCGAAAUUGAACUGUGUGUCAAGAUGCACACUUCCCGCGGUUAGACGGAAAGACCCCAUGAACCUUUACUCCAGCUUUGCACUGGCAUCAGGAUUGUGAUGUGCAGGAUAGGUGGUAGGCAUCGAAGCAGAGACGCCAGUUUCUGUGGAGCCUCCCUUGAGAUACCACCCUUCGCACUCUUGAUGUCUAACCGCGGCCCGUUAUCCGGGUCCGGGACCAUGCAUGGUGGGGAGUUUGACUGGGGCGGUCGCCUCCCAAACAGUAACGGAGGCGCGCGAAGGUUGGCUCAGAGCGGUCGGAAAUCGCUCGUUGAGUGCAAUGGCAGAAGCCAGCCUGACUGCAAGACUGACAAGUCGAGCAGAGACGAAAGUCGGCCAUAGUGAUCCGGUGGUCCCAAGUGGGAGGGCCAUCGCUCAACGGAUAAAAGGUACUCUGGGGAUAACAGGCUGAUGAUGCCCAAGAGUCCAUAUCGACGGCAUCGUUUGGCACCUCGAUGUCGGCUCAUCUCAUCCUGGGGCUGGAGCAGGUCCCAAGGGUAUGGCUGUUCGCCAUUUAAAGAGGUACGUAGCUGGGUUUAGAACGUCGUGAGACAGUUCGGUCCAUAUCUGCCGUGGGUGUAGGAGACUUGAGAAGAGUUGCCCCUAGUACGAGAGGACCGGGGUGAACGUUCCACUGGUGGACCAGUUGUCGUGCCAACGGCAGUGCUGGGUAGCUAUGAACGGACAGGAUAACCGCUGAAGGCAUCUAAGCGGGAAGCCCCCUUCAAAACAAGGUCUCCCUUGAGAGCCGUGGAAGACCACCACGUCG